RNAcentral lists this ribosomal RNA (336 nucleotides) under uncultured eukaryote. RNAcentral describes it as "partial 18S ribosomal RNA". It matches the Rfam family "Eukaryotic small subunit ribosomal RNA", at positions 1470 to 1796 of the family's 1831-position model. The record is from RNAcentral.
CCCUUAGAUGUUCUGGGCCGCACGCGCGCUACACUGAUACAGGCAGCAAGUUAUAUUUCCCCUUGGCUGAGAGGCCUGGGUAAUCUUGUGAAAUUGUAUCGUGAUGGGGAUAGGUCACUGUAAUCGUUGACCUUUAACGAGGAAUUCCUAGUACGCGCAAGUCAUCAGCUUGCAUGGAUUACGUCCCUGCCCUUUGUACACACCGCCCGUCGCUACUACCGAUUGAACGGUUUAGUGAGGGCCUCGGAUUGGUCUCGGCCCGCUCUUUACCGGGCGGCGCCGUUGGUCGAGAAGACGCUCGAACUUGAUCGUUUAGAGGAAGUAAAAGUCGUAACA